AAGCCGCGAUCAGCUCAUAGCGUAUAUUAAAGUUGUUGCAGUUAAAAAGCUCGUAGUUGAACUUUAGGCCCGGUUGGACGGUCGACUCUAGGGUUUGUACUGUCCUGACUGGGUCUUACCUUCUGGUGAGCUGUCGUGUUGUUUACUCAGUGCGGCAGGGAACCAGGACUUUUACUUUGAAAAAAUUAGAGUGUUUAAAGCAGGCAAU
This 208-nucleotide ribosomal RNA is filed under the name uncultured fungus. Its description in RNAcentral is "partial small subunit ribosomal RNA". It matches the Rfam family "Eukaryotic small subunit ribosomal RNA", at positions 571 to 788 of the family's 1831-position model. The record is from RNAcentral. Lineage: Eukaryota; Fungi.